AGAAACAAAUGAACAAUCUCUGCAAGUUUUUAUCUUUAAUCUUUAUCUUUGCAGCGAUGAUUGUGGGUUUUUACUUAAAAUCAAGAAGACCCAAUCGGGAUUACUUAAUUACUACUCAUCAUCAAUUCAUUAUGACAUUAUCUGUUAAUUAAUUCAUCUGAUGAGUUGUAAUUGUGUAAAAAUAACAUUAAAUAAUGAUUCGUUGCAUGCAGUGGUGGUUCGCUGCACAUGGAGUGAUGGUGGAGAGUAAGCCGGAAGACCUCAAAUGCUCAUCAAUAUCCCUUAAGUACUUUGCACGCAUUCUUUGUCAGGACCGGUCAGUUAACCAACCAGACUACAUUGACGUCGGUGAAAUCAAUUUCCUAUAAUCGAGGUGUUUUUUUGAAAAUAAUCCAGAAAAAAUCCAAAGUUUGAUUGAAUUCCAAAUCUUAUAAUUGAUACUGAAUUAAAAGGUUAGAUUUCGCAGACAGGCUCGCAGUUGGUGAAAUGUCGACAUGCGUUCACGUGGCAAUGUGGCGCGGAAGGCGACAUUAACAAGGCAUUAAUAUUUCCGUUUUAAAAUAUUCACAGCUUGGCGGUCAAGGCAUUCAUGCCAAAAUGAUUAAUUUAACAGACCUCGAUGCAUUG
RNAcentral lists this long non-coding RNA (627 nucleotides) under Zostera marina. Its description in RNAcentral is "long non-coding RNA (ZMAR_LNC004747)". The record is from RNAcentral. Lineage: Eukaryota; Viridiplantae; Streptophyta; Magnoliopsida; Alismatales; Zosteraceae.